CCAGUGGUAGCCUAGUGGUUAAGGUGCCGGCUUAGAAUGCAGUAGCCUGAAAAGUUGUGGGUUCAAUUCCCGGCUUCCACUGCU
Molecule: transfer RNA, 84 nt
Filed under: Alosa alosa (allis shad)
Lineage: Eukaryota; Metazoa; Chordata; Actinopteri; Clupeiformes; Clupeidae
Description: tRNA-OTHER
Source: RNAcentral